This is a long non-coding RNA of Bactrocera neohumeralis, 422 nucleotides long. RefSeq lists it as uncharacterized. The transcript has 2 exons. NCBI's taxonomy places the organism in Eukaryota, Metazoa, Arthropoda, Insecta, Diptera, Tephritidae. The record is from RefSeq and is a predicted model, not a curated record.
CCCUUAUAAAUCAAUCAUAUUUGCGCAAUUUCUAUCUAAAUGGCAACUACGGUCACAUACACAACAGGCACAAUUCUCAACCCCAGCCAAAGAACAACUGUCAUGGUUUAUGCUACCAUUUGCCGGCCGUGUUCGUUGCUCUUCCAGCUGCCUUUGAACGAUUAGCAGCUACCUUGUUCGUGUUAUGAAAAUGUCUAGCCAAAUCGCCGUGUUUGUUACUUGUUCGAGAGUUGUCGGUCUCUUUGGAAUCCUUUUUGGAUUUUAAUCGAAAAUGUGUAGCCUGUUUCCUGUGUUGCAGCUGCUCUUUUAAACUCACUUAUAAAUAUGUACAUUUAGUUAUGAGUUACAUGCACAUACACAUACAUACAUAUGUAUGUACUUAUAUACGUAUCGACAUGGAUUUGUGUGGUAUGUACAACCAA